AAUAGAUACCCGGGUAGUCCACGCCGUAAACGUUGGGCGCUAGAUGUGGGGACCAUUCCACGGUUUCCGUGUCGCAGCUAACGCAUUAAGCGCCCCGCCUGGGGAGUACGGCCGCAAGGCUAAAACUCAAAGGAAUUGACGGGGGCCCGCACAAGCGGCGGAGCAUGCGGAUUAAUUCGAUGCAACGCGAAGAACCUUACCAAGGCUUGACAUAUACGAGAACGCUCUAGAAAUAGAGAACUCUUUGGACACUCGUAUACAGGUGGUGCAUGGUUGUCGUCAGCUCGUGUCGUGAGAUGUUGGGUUAAGUCCCGCAACGAGCGCAACCCUCGUUCUAUGUUGCCAGCGGUUCGGCCGGGGAACUCAUAGGAGACUGCCGGGGUCAACUCGGAGGAAGGUGGGGAUGACGUCAAAUCAUCAUGCCCCUUAUGUCUUGGGCUUCACGCAUGCUACAAUGGCCGGUACAAAGGGCUGCAAUACCGUAAGUGGAGCGAAUCCCGAAAAAGCCGGUCUCAGUUCGGAUUGAGGU
RNAcentral lists this ribosomal RNA (529 nucleotides) under uncultured bacterium. Its description in RNAcentral is "bacterial SSU rRNA". It matches the Rfam family "Bacterial small subunit ribosomal RNA", at positions 777 to 1304 of the family's 1533-position model. The record is from RNAcentral.